UACUAGAUCAGACUAAGGGUAGGUGAGC
RNAcentral lists this small RNA (28 nucleotides) under Bombyx mori (domestic silkworm). RNAcentral's name for it is "ovarian small RNA-21288". Lineage: Eukaryota; Metazoa; Arthropoda; Insecta; Lepidoptera; Bombycidae. The record is from RNAcentral.